ACAUGCAAGUCGAACGCAGUAGCAAUACUGAGUGGCAAACGGGUGAGUAUAAUGUGGGAAUCUGCCUUUUGGUUUGGAAUAACACGGGGAAACUUGUGCUAAUACCGAAUAAGCCCUUACGGGGAAAGUUUUAACGCCGAAAGAUGAGCCCGCACUUGAUUAGCUAGUUGGUAAGGUAAAGGCUUACCAAGGCUACGAUCAAUAGCUGUUCUUAGAGGAAGACCAGCCACAUUGGGACUGAGACACGGCCCAGACUCCUACGGGAGGCAGCAGUGGGGAAUCUUGCACAAUGGGGGAAACCCUGAUGCAGCGAUGCCGCGUGAGUGAAGAAGGCCCUUGGGUUGUAAAACUCUUUCGUCGGGGAAGAAAAUGACUGUACCCGAAUAAGAAGGUCCGGCUAACUUCGUGCCAGCAGCCGCGGUAAUACGAAGGGACCUAGCGUAGUUCGGAAUUACUGGGCUUAAAGAGCUCGUAGGUGGUUAAAAAAGUUGAUGGUGAAAUCCCAAGGCUCAACCUUGGAACUGCCAUCAAAACUUUUUAGCUAGAGUGUGAUAGAGGUAAGUGGAAUUUCUAGUGUAGAGGUGAAAUUCGUAGAUAUUAGAAAGAACACCAAAUGCGAAGGCAACUUACUGGGUCACUACUGACACUGAGGAGCGAAAGCAUGGGUAGCGAAGAGGAUUAGAUACCCUCGUAGUCCAUGCCGUAAACGAUGUGUGCUAGACGUUGGAAAUAUAUUUUUCAGUGUCGCAGCGAAAGCAUUAAGCACACCGCC
Molecule: ribosomal RNA, 772 nt
Filed under: uncultured Pelagibacteraceae bacterium
Lineage: Bacteria; Pseudomonadati; Pseudomonadota; Alphaproteobacteria; Candidatus Pelagibacterales; Candidatus Pelagibacteraceae
Description: bacterial SSU rRNA
Rfam family: Bacterial small subunit ribosomal RNA
Source: RNAcentral